AACGGCCGCAGUACCCUAACCGCGCAAAGGUAGCAUAAUCACUUGCCCUCUAAAUAAGGACUAGUAUCAACGGCAUCACGAGGGUUCUACUGUCUCCUUUUUCUAAUCAGUGAAACUGAUCUCCCCGUGAAGAAGCGGGAAUAGAUCUAUAAGACGAGAAGACCCCAUGGAGCUUCAAACCAGCUUCAACCCCUCCCCCCCC
Molecule: ribosomal RNA, 202 nt
Filed under: Gephyromantis redimitus
Lineage: Eukaryota; Metazoa; Chordata; Amphibia; Anura; Mantellidae
Description: partial large subunit ribosomal RNA
Rfam family: Bacterial large subunit ribosomal RNA
Source: RNAcentral